Molecule: ribosomal RNA, 255 nt
Filed under: uncultured bacterium
Lineage: Bacteria
Description: partial 16S ribosomal RNA
Rfam family: Bacterial small subunit ribosomal RNA
Source: RNAcentral
GACAGAGGGUGCAAACGUUGCUCGGAAUUACUGGGCGUAAAGCGCGUGUAGGUGGAUUGGUGUGUCAGAUGUGAAAGCCCUGGGCUCAACCCAGGAACUGCACCUGAAACUACCAGUCUUGAGUGGUGGAGAGGGAAGUGGAAUUCCUGGUGUAGAGGUGAAAUUCGUAGAUAUCAGGAGGAACACCAGUGGCGAAGGCGGCUUCCUGGACACCAACUGACGCUGAGACGCGAAAAGCGUGGGGGAGCAAACAGG